Molecule: transfer RNA, 61 nt
Filed under: Monolepta occifluvis
Lineage: Eukaryota; Metazoa; Arthropoda; Insecta; Coleoptera; Chrysomelidae
Description: tRNA-Asp
Source: RNAcentral
AAAAAUUUAGUUAAAAUAUAACAUUAACUUGUCAAGUUAAAAUAAUCUAUCGAUAAUUUUU